This 1378-nucleotide long non-coding RNA is filed under the name Homo sapiens (human). RNAcentral describes it as "HSALNT0132414". Lineage: Eukaryota; Metazoa; Chordata; Mammalia; Primates; Hominidae. The record is from RNAcentral.
GCCGUAAGGUUUGCAGGCCUCCCCCGCCCUCCGCCCUUCCUUGUUUUGGUUCACUCUCUUGGCUUCCUCCUCCGCUGUCGCAGUUCCAGAAGAUGCGUCCAGCCACAACAAAGCUCUGAGGACCCGGGGAGCAUUUCUUCCCAGGGCUAUCACAAGUGAGAGAACGCUUUCCAGAAACCUCCCAGGAAGACUUCCCUUCACAUCUUGUUGGACAGAAUGAGAUGCCUCAUAAGGAAGAAGGGGCCACACUCCCGCCCAGGAUGCCUGUCCCUAACCCAGUGCUUCCACAGACCCAGCCCAUCAGAUUCAGGGCUAUCCCAGGCACAGGGAGGCAAUACCACUCGUCUGAAACAGUAACUUCCACUGUGGGCAAAUGAGAAAGUCAAACCUCAUGCCUUUUGAUCAGACAGGACGGAGUAUUUUUAUGGUCAAGCGGCCAUGUAGCAGUAGGAAGAAGACUGAGAAACUGGGACGCAAAACACAAACUCAGCCACAGUGUUGCGAGCGUUCUAGGAAGGGCCCCACCCCUGGGAGGCAGCGCGCUGAGCAGGUCCCGCAGGCUGCAGUGGAGUCACAGUGCGCAACGCCAUUGUAGAGCAGGUGCCUUGGUGUUGCCCACGCCACAAACAUGUUAUGGGACCCUGACAGUCUCUCUCUCUCCACAUCUGUUGCUUUACCUGAAAUAGGGUUCCUUUCCAUUUUCUUGCUCCACUUUUUUUUCCGAGACAAACCAGAAAGCAUCAGUAAAGAAAUCUAAGUUUCUACAAGUUACUGCCAACUUUCAUGAAAUCUGUGUAAUUUUAAAUGUCUUUUAACCAUUGCCAAGAUAAGAAGCAAAGGAGUCAGGUUUCUCUUCCGCAGGUCAAAUGCAGCCGCCCAUCUGUUCAAGCCUGCGUAUCAGGACCUGGAAGCCCCAUGCAGACCCAUCUACUCUGUCAUUCUUUUCAUCUGUUGCUUUUCAAUCGGUAUGGUUUUUCCCUACCAUUCUGAAUUCAGGUUUCACUACAUUAUACUUUUUUGGCCUCAUAAAAAUGAGGCACAAGGUAUAAUAUAUAUGGCUAAUUUUAAAUUUAAGCAAUGCAAGUAGAUAUUGAAUGAUAAAAACAUUUAAAAUCCUCAUUCUAUUACUCAUGUAAGAGGAUCAGCGGAGUCUUUCAGAGGAAGAGCAAGGUUUUAAAGCCAAAACCACAAAGGGAAGGGUGUACCUGAGUGUUAGUAUAUAAACCUUUCACUCUGAUGGCUUGAGGUCAAGACUUGGUUAGUUCAAAAGUGAAUGAAUGUUUGGAUUCUUCACCUCCUACCUAGUAAAUAUUUAUUCCGAUUAUAAAAUGGCAAGAAACACUGGCACAACCAACAUUCUCUGCUUGAGAGAAGCUAC